CGGGGUGAGUAAUGUCUGGGAAACUGCCUGAUGAGGGGGGAUAACUGCUGGAAACGGUAGCUAAUACCGCAUAACGUCGCAAGACCAAAGAGGGGGACCUUCGGGCCUCUUGCCAUCGGAUGUGCCCAGAUGGGAUUAGCUAGUAGGUGGGGUAACGGCUCACCUAGGCGACGAUCCCUAGCUGGUCUGAGAGGAUGGCCAGCCACACUGGAACUGAGACACGGUCCAG
RNAcentral lists this ribosomal RNA (229 nucleotides) under uncultured bacterium. RNAcentral describes it as "partial 16S ribosomal RNA". It matches the Rfam family "Bacterial small subunit ribosomal RNA", at positions 104 to 334 of the family's 1533-position model. The record is from RNAcentral.